AGUGAACGCUGGCGGUAGGCCUAACACAUGCAAGUCGAACGGCAGCACAGUAAGAGCUUGCUCUUACGGGUGGCGAGUGGCGGACGGGUGAGGAAUACAUCGGAAUCUACUUUUUCGUGGGGGAUAACGUAGGGAAACUUACGCUAAUACCGCAUACGACCUACGGGUGAAAGCAGGGGAUCUUCGGACCUUGCGCGAUUGAAUGAGCCGAUGUCGGAUUAGCUAGUUGGCGGGGUAAAGGCCCACCAAGGCGACGAUCCGUAGCUGGUCUGAGAGGAUGAUAAGCGACACUGGAACUGAGACACGGUCCAGACUCCUACGGGAGGCAGCAGUGGGGAAUAUUGGACAAUGGGCGCAAGCCUGAUCCAGCCAUACCGCGUGGGUGAAGAAGGCCUUCGGGUUGUAAAGCCCUUUUGUUGGGAAAGAAAAGCAGCAGGUUAAUACCCCGCUGUUCUGACGGUACCCAAAGAAUAAGCACCGGCUAACUUCGUG
Molecule: ribosomal RNA, 492 nt
Filed under: uncultured bacterium
Lineage: Bacteria
Description: partial 16S ribosomal RNA
Rfam family: Bacterial small subunit ribosomal RNA
Source: RNAcentral